UAUGAUUCGUAUGUUAGGUGUAAAUCUUACUUAUUUGACUUGUACAAGCGAAUAGAGCAAGCGAAUGGAGAAUAGCUGAGAAACUUCAUCAGUAGCGAUAAUCAUCGGUUGUAAGUCCUGACUCUGAGGAUUUGAAACUCAGCCCGGAGACUAAAUAAACAAUAUGAAUGAAUACUGCGUCGGAAAAGAUCAGGUUUUACACUGCAACUUGGAACGAUAUUAGGUUUACUGACCGCAAACAUUAGUAAAACUCAUUGAAAAAUAGCAUCAUAAGCCAGAAUAAAACAAAAGAAUUUAUGCAAACAAAGACGGUUGGUCGUAAUAUUUUAUUGGUUUUGUCAUAUGACUUGAGUAUAGCAUGAACAAUAUCAUCUUGUUUUAAUCAUGUUGUAAGUAGAUUGUAUCGGCAUAAGCGUUUGUUUCCAUGUCAUUUCUUUUAGUAGUAAAAUAGUAAUUAGGAAAGUAUUGUUUCUAUUUAUAGCACAGUAAAUACGCUGUAAUAAAGCGCAAUGCAUAACGGAAAAUACAGUUUUUGUUAAGCUGGUGAUAUAAAAGAGCUUACAAUAUUAUAGGUUUUCAUAACAUGUUAGCAUUCAGAGGAUAAAUUGAAUAGCACACUGAUAACAAAGGAGAGUUUUAAAGCAAAAACUUAAGCAAAAGAAAUCCGCACUUGUUUCUUCUUUGAGCUGAAAGUAUGAGCUGGGGCAACUCCUGGGGAAACAGUUGGUCAAGCAGCAGUUUCAGUGGCGGAUCUGGAGGUGGUAGCUGGGGCGGGGGCUCAUGGGGGAGCAACUCCAGCAAUAAAGAACCGGAGGGCAUCCAUAAUGCUUCGUGUAUUGCCGGAUGCGGAGGUUGGGGUAACAGUGGACUGAUGAAGAGCUAUUAUGAUGAAAGUUGCUCAGGUUGUAGACAUGACAGGGCCAAAUCUACGUGGGGUAGUCAACCAUCUGGUGGUAACCCUGCAUUGAAAGUUGCAGCAUUGUUUGGAAUCGGUGCUAUGGCAAAGAAGAGUCUUUGGGACUGAAAAAGAACUUGUCUUUAACCCGAAUCCUCAAAGGACAACUUUAAAUGUCCUUGUGACAAAAUUGCGGUAUUAUGUUCAUCUCUAAAUUCAAAAUUGCAAUAAUUUUCCGGCGGCAGUAUAUUCUGUGCAGUUCAUGUAGAAUAUUCUACAAUCGCUGGAAAAAAGUGCUACACAUGAGCAAGCAAUAACUGUCAAGUGAAGUUCUUCAACCUCAUUGGGAGAGAUGAUGUUGUGACGUUAUAAUAAACUUUGUAACAUAUAAAGCAUUAUUGGGCAUUGUGCAAUAUGGUGCAUUUUCUUUUAUUCAUUAAGUGCCAUGAACAAUUCUUUUAUAAAUGAGUCGUGAUAUUAAUUAUGUUUUUGAUAGAAGCAAUUUUAUUUCACAGUCAUACUAAUAACAAAGAAAUAUAUAUAAAUGCAGAUUAUAUAUAACUUAUUG
This is a long non-coding RNA of Mercenaria mercenaria, 1463 nucleotides long. RefSeq lists it as uncharacterized. The record is from RefSeq and is a predicted model, not a curated record. Lineage: Eukaryota; Metazoa; Mollusca; Bivalvia; Venerida; Veneridae. The transcript has 2 exons.